GACGAACGCUGGCGGCGUGCCUAACACAUGCAAGUAGGACGCAGUUGCGAACGGGAGAGUAACGCGUAGGUAACUACCUAUUAGAGGGGGAUAACUAUUGGAAACGAUAGCUAAUACCGCAUACUAGUAGAUGGACCUGCGUUGUAUUAGCUAGUAGGUAGGGUAAUGGCCUACCUAGUCAACGAUACAUAGCCGGGCUGGGAGUGUGAUCGGCCACGCUGGGGCUGGGUCACGGCCCAGACUCCUACGGGAGGCAACCAUAGGGAAUCUUCGGCAAUGGGGGGAACCCUUACCGAGCAACGCCGCGUGGGUGAAGAAGGUUUUCGGAUCGUGAAGCUCUGUUGUUAAGGGAGCGGUACUUAACCAGAAAGGACCGGCUAACUACGUGCCAGCAGCCGCGGUAAUUC
Molecule: ribosomal RNA, 407 nt
Filed under: uncultured bacterium
Lineage: Bacteria
Description: partial 16S ribosomal RNA
Rfam family: Bacterial small subunit ribosomal RNA
Source: RNAcentral